AAGUCGUAACAAGGUUUCCGUAGGUGAACCUGCGGAAGGAUCAUUAUUGAAAUAAAUCUGAUGGGUUGCUGCUGGUUCUCUAGGGAGCAUGUGCACACUUGUCAUCUUUAUAUCUCCACCUGUGCACCUUUUGUAGACCUGGAUAUCUUUCUGAAUGCCUGGCAUUUGGGUUUGAGGAUUGAUUUUUCUUUCCUUACAUUUCCAGGUCUAUGUUUCUUCAUAUACCCCAUGUAUGUUAUAGAAUGUCAUAAGCAGGCCUAUUGUGCCUAUAAACUUAUACAACUUUCAGCAACGGAUCUCUUGGCUCUC
RNAcentral lists this unclassified non-coding RNA (309 nucleotides) under air metagenome. Its description in RNAcentral is "partial contains small subunit ribosomal RNA, internal transcribed spacer 1, and 5.8S ribosomal RNA". The stretch from base 1 to 46 matches the Rfam family "Eukaryotic small subunit ribosomal RNA", at positions 1786 to 1831 of the family's 1831-position model. The record is from RNAcentral.